This 393-nucleotide ribosomal RNA is filed under the name uncultured bacterium. RNAcentral's name for it is "partial 16S ribosomal RNA". It matches the Rfam family "Bacterial small subunit ribosomal RNA", at positions 523 to 918 of the family's 1533-position model. The record is from RNAcentral.
AUACGGAAGGUCCGGGCGUUAUCCGGAUUUAUUGGGUUUAAAGGGAGCGCAGGCGGAGAUGCAAGCGUGACGUCAAAUUUCGGGGCUCAACCCCGUCUCGCGUCGCGAACUGCGUCCCUUGGUUGCGGGAAGGGGAGGCGGAACUCGUGGUGUAGCGGUGAAAUGCAUAGAUAUCACGAAGAACUCCGAUCGCGAAGGCAGCCUUCCGGCCCGUCAACGACGCUCAUGCUCGAAGGUGCGGGUAUCAAACAGGAUUAGAUGCCCUGGUAGUCCGCACAGUAAACGAUGGACACCCGCGGUUUGGCCUAUAUGGCUGAGCCGCCAAGCGAAAGCGUUAAGUGUCCCACCUGGGGAGUACGCCGGCAAGGUUGAAACUCAAAGGAAUUGACGGGG